GAGUUUGAUCUUGGCUCAGAUUGAACGCUGGCGGCAUGCCUUACACAUGCAAGUCGAACGGCAGCAUGAUCUAGCUUGCUAGAUUGACGGCGAGUGGCGAACGGGUGAGUAAUACAUCGGAACGUGCCCUGUAGUGGGGGAUAACUAGUCGAAAGAUUAGCUAAUACCGCAUACGACCUGAGGGUGAAAGUGGGGGACCGCAAGGCCUCAUGCUAUAGGAGCGGCCGAUGGUCUGAUUAGCUAGUUGGUGGGGUAAAGGCCCACCAAGGCGACGAUCAGUAGCUGGUCUGAGAGGACGAUCAGCCACACUGGGACUGAGACACGGCCCAGACUCCUACGGAGGCAGCAGUGGGGAAUUUUGGACAAUGGGCGAAAGCCUGAUCCAGCAAUG
RNAcentral lists this ribosomal RNA (391 nucleotides) under uncultured microorganism. RNAcentral describes it as "bacterial SSU rRNA". It matches the Rfam family "Bacterial small subunit ribosomal RNA", at positions 9 to 396 of the family's 1533-position model. The record is from RNAcentral.